GAUCAGCUGAGCAUUACUAGUGUCUAUGGUGUGGUUUUCAGUUUAUGCAUGGAUGAUGUACUGCUGCCAUGCAUACAUCUUUCCAGUAUUGUACUAGCAUCUUUCCAUCAUUCCGUUUGUAUUUGAGUUUGUAUCCUUGUAUGUUAAAAGGUGCACUUAUACGGACAAAAAUGCACCAUUAAAUGAAUAAAAACGGCUGUUUGUUUUUGAGUUCGUAUCUGUGUAUUUUGUUUCUCUGUUACUUCGAAGCAGGUUCCAAUCCCUGAAUUUGUAUGUCAACUACAAAAUCUGCUAUAUUCAUGACCAGUUAUAAAUUUUGAUAACUGGUUAAGUGUUACUUAAAAUGGAUCCAAACCCGAAAGGGAUAUGAAAGAUUAAUUGAUAUAUUGAGAGCAAGACAUGCCGAUUACGUUUUGGUUUUCUCAAGUGGUACUCGUUCUUCUUUGUAAGUUUAUUUUGG
This 460-nucleotide long non-coding RNA is filed under the name Coffea arabica (coffee). Its description in RNAcentral is "long non-coding RNA (CARA_LNC002481)". The record is from RNAcentral. Lineage: Eukaryota; Viridiplantae; Streptophyta; Magnoliopsida; Gentianales; Rubiaceae.